Molecule: long non-coding RNA, 602 nt
Organism: Artibeus jamaicensis (Jamaican fruit-eating bat)
Lineage: Eukaryota; Metazoa; Chordata; Mammalia; Chiroptera; Phyllostomidae
Exons: 3
Source: RefSeq, a predicted model, not a curated record
CUUGGGUUGGACUGUGACUGCCUGGGAGGGACCUAAACAUUUCUCUUUUUCAGUGCCAUGUAUUUCAAGAAGAAAGAAGCUGAGACAUCUGAGAACUUUGCAUCCUGGGGGACUUGUUUUGGAGGAGAGCACUCCAAGCAAGAUGAACAUAAUUCAGAUCGAAACUAAUCUUGGAGGAGUUACAAACGUGGGGCCUCCGGUGGUUUCUACAGAAUUUCCCCUGGAGACAUUCAGCGUGGCGUGGGCCCAGCUCCCACUGGGAGAUGUACAGGACCCAUGCCCAUGGAUAGGUUCUCCCGUGGGGAAUCAGGCCUGCUAUGUACCUAGGCCCCUUUGAGUCUUGCUUUUUGCUAAAAACUCCCUCACUGGGAUUUGUGGCAAACAUUACUGCAAAGUCACUUCCUAAAAAGCAUGCUAAACCUUCCAAGGACCAGUGUAACCCUUUGGACCACUCUUGCCUUUUCAUUUGCAAAUAUCCCUCUUCCCUGGUGUGAUUACCAGCAUCCUCUCCUUUAUUUUCUGUAAAAGAUAACCACCUAAAGCAAACCUGUGCAUAGUAAAUGAGGAGCAUCAUGUAAUGUGCUGAGAAACCCAAUAAAAGC